CAGGGAUUGCCCUAGUAACGGCGAGUGAAGCGGCAACAGCUCAAAUUUGAAAUCUGGCUCUUUCAGAGUCCGAGUUGUAAUUUGCAGAGGGCGCUUUGGCGUUGGCAGCGGUCCAAGUUCCUUGGAACAGGACGUCACAGAGGGUGAGAAUCCCGUACGUGGUCGCUGGCCUUCGCCGUGUAAAGCCCCUUCGACGAGUCGAGUUGUUUGGGAAUGCAGCUCUAAAUGGGAGGUAAAUUUCUUCUAAAGCUAAAUACUGGCCAGAGACCGAUAGCGCACAAGUAGAGUGAUCGAAAGAUGAAAAGCACUUUGGAAAGAGAGUCAAAUAGCACGUGAAAUUGUUGAAAGGGAAGCGCUUGCAGCCAGACUUGCCUGUAGUUGCUCAUCCGGGCUUUUGCCCGGUGCACUCUUCUAUAGGCAGGCCAGCAUCAGUUUGGGCGGUUGGAUAAAGGUCUCUGUCAUGUACCUCUCUUCGGGGAGGCCUUAUAGGGGAGACGACAUGCAACCAGCCUGGACUGAGGUCCGCGCAUUUGCUAGGAUGCUGGCGUAAUGGCUGUAAGCGGCCCGUCUUGAAACACGGACCAAGGAGUCUAACAUCUAUGCGAGUGUUUGGGUGUCAAGCCCGAACGCGUAAUGAAAGUGAACGGAGGUGGGAACCCUUACGGGCGCACCAUCGACCGAUCCUGAUGUCUUCGGAAGGAUUUGAGUAAGAGCAUGGCUGUUGGGACCCGAAAGAUGGUGAACUAUGCUUGAAUAGGGUGAAGCCAGAGGAAACUCUGGUGGAGGCUCGCAGCGGUUCUGACGUGCAAAUCGAUCGUCAAAUUUGGGCAUAGGGGCGAAAGACUAAUCGAACUAUCUAG
This 860-nucleotide ribosomal RNA is filed under the name Plenodomus artemisiae. RNAcentral's name for it is "partial large subunit ribosomal RNA". It matches the Rfam family "Eukaryotic large subunit ribosomal RNA", at positions 69 to 947 of the family's 3401-position model. The record is from RNAcentral. Lineage: Eukaryota; Fungi; Ascomycota; Dothideomycetes; Pleosporales; Leptosphaeriaceae.